GAUUCGUCACACUAUCAUUAACUGAAUCCAUAGGUUAAUGAGGCGAACCGGGGGAACUGAAACAUCUAAGUACCCCGAGGAAAAGAAAUCAACCGAGAUUCCCCCAGUAGCGGCGAGCGAACGGGGAGGAGCCCAGAGCCUGAAUCAGCAUGUGUGUUAGUGGAAGCGUCUGGAAAGGCGCGCGAUACAGGGUGACAGCCCCGUACACAAAAGCGCAUGUGCUGUGAGCUCGAUGAGUAGGGCGGGACACGUGGUAUCCUGUCUGAAUAUGGGGGGACCAUCCUCCAAGGCUAAAUACUCCUGACUGACCGAUAGUGAACCAGUACCGUGAGGGAAAGGCGAAAAGAACCCCGGCGAGGGGAGUGAAAAAGAACCUGAAACCGUGUACGU
This 390-nucleotide ribosomal RNA is filed under the name Salmonella enterica subsp. enterica serovar Typhimurium. RNAcentral describes it as "partial 23S ribosomal RNA". It matches the Rfam family "Bacterial large subunit ribosomal RNA", at positions 137 to 565 of the family's 2925-position model. The record is from RNAcentral. Lineage: Bacteria; Pseudomonadati; Pseudomonadota; Gammaproteobacteria; Enterobacterales; Enterobacteriaceae.